RNAcentral lists this ribosomal RNA (470 nucleotides) under uncultured bacterium. RNAcentral's name for it is "SSU rRNA". It matches the Rfam family "Bacterial small subunit ribosomal RNA", at positions 26 to 518 of the family's 1533-position model. The record is from RNAcentral.
AGAUUGAACGCUGGCGGCAUGCCUAACACAUGCAAGUCGAGCGGGCGUAGCAAUACGUCAGCGGCAGACGGGUGAGUAACGCGUGGGAACGUACCUUUUGGUUCGGAACAACACAGGGAAACUUGUGCUAAUACCGGAUAAGCCCUUACGGGGAAAGAUUUAUCGCCAAAAGAUCGGCCCGCGUCUGAUUAGCUAGUUGGUGAGGUAACGGCUCACCAAGGCGACGAUCAGUAGCUGGUCUGAGAGGAUGAUCAGCCACAUUGGGACUGAGACACGGCCCAAACUCCUACGGGAGGCAGCAGUGGGAAUUUUGCGCAAUGGGCGAAAGCCUGACGCAGCAACGCCGCGUGUGUGAUGAAGGUCUUCGGAUUGUAAAGCACUUUCGACCGGGACGAACACCCUUGGCUAACAUCCAAGGGCCUGACUGUACCGGGAGAAGAAGCACCGGCUAACUCUGCGCCAGCAGCCGC